CCUACGGGUGGCAGCAGUCGAGAAUCAUUCACAAUGGGGGAAACCCUGAUGGUGCGACGCCGCGUGGGGGAAUGAAGGUCUUCGGAUUGUAAACUCCUGUCAUGUGGGAGCAAAUUAAAAAGAUAGUACCACAAGAGGAAGAGACGGCUAACUCUGUGCCAGCAGCCGCGGUAAUACAGAGGUCUCAAGCGUUGUUCGGAAUCACUGGGCGUAAAGCGUGCGUAGGCGGUUUCGGAAGUCGUGGGUGAAAGGCGCGGGCUCAACCCGCGUACGGCACAUGAUACUGGGAGACUAGAGUGAGGGAGAGGGAAGCGGAAUUCGCGGUGUAGCAGUGAAAUGCGUAGAUAUCGAGAGGAACACUCGUGGCGAAGGCGGGUUCCUGGACAUUAACUGACGCUGAGGCGCGAAGGCGAGGGGAGCGAAAGGGAUUAGAUACCCUAGUAGUC
This 446-nucleotide ribosomal RNA is filed under the name uncultured bacterium. RNAcentral describes it as "partial 16S ribosomal RNA". It matches the Rfam family "Bacterial small subunit ribosomal RNA", at positions 338 to 795 of the family's 1533-position model. The record is from RNAcentral.